Molecule: ribosomal RNA, 253 nt
Filed under: uncultured bacterium
Lineage: Bacteria
Description: partial 16S ribosomal RNA
Rfam family: Bacterial small subunit ribosomal RNA
Source: RNAcentral
UACAGAGGUGGCAAGCGUUGUUCGGAAUUACUGGGCGUAAAGGGCGCGUAGGCGGCCUUCUAAGUCAGACGUGAAAUCCCUCGGCUUAACCGAGGAACUGCGUCUGAUACUGGAUGGCUUGAGUUUGGGAGAGGGAUGCGGAAUUCCAGGUGUAGCGGUGAAAUGCGUAGAUAUCUGGAGGAACACCGGUGGCGAAGGCGGCAUCCUGGACCAACACUGACACUGAGGAGCGAAAGCCAGGGGAGCAAACGGG